AGGCUGGGAAAAUCGAGGGGAGCUUGAAGCUUCGGUCGGAGUUGGACUUUGAACCCUCUCCGAUCGUGAGCUUUGUCAAGUGGGACUUUCCAGCACCGUUUUUGAGGGAUUUUACGAGCACGAGAUCUCGAAACCUCGUAGAUACAGUUGCUUCUAUCACUCCAAAUUGCAUUGCAAGACUUCAACUUGAGCAGGUUGACAUUUGAGUGGGGCUGAUAAACAAACCAAGCUAUUCGAGUUCAAGUUCCAGCUCAGUAAAUAGAGCUGAACUGAGCUGGAUGGAUUGUGCUCUUAAGUGUGUUGCGUUGCUGGUGCUCCUCGGAUGUGGUUUUUCAAAAAUAAGUGCCUCUCUCGUCAAAAAUGACUAGGAGCAUUGCAAGAAUACCGUCAACAAGUGGGCUUCUUCUUCCCCUGAUUUAGAAGUCAAAGAAGGAAAACAUAGACUACGGGAUUUGCUAUUUUUCCUUCAUGUUCUGAGAACAGUUUCUUGAGAAAGUUGUAUUCGAGCUCUUUGGAAUGUCCCCGUUCAUAUGAUAAGUUGUGGUUUGAUCCGAGGUAAGAACUCUUCAAUUGUGUUUUACUGUAGUGCAGGACAUUUUUGUUGGCACGUCAUAGUGUCCCACUUCAUUUUGUAUUUUUGUUUCCCAUGGGACAAAUAAAUAUUAGCGAUCACCCAUGAAUCCAGUCGGGACAGAGAAUUUCUUUUGGGACAGAGAAU
Molecule: long non-coding RNA, 718 nt
Organism: Rhododendron vialii
Lineage: Eukaryota; Viridiplantae; Streptophyta; Magnoliopsida; Ericales; Ericaceae
Exons: 5
Source: RefSeq, a predicted model, not a curated record